AUGCGAGUUGGUGAUGAUGGUGUGUCCGCCUUUAUGUCUACACUGUUUGAUCUGGAUCAUAGGGCUGAGGUUGAAACACGGCGUCCCCGAACGCCCUGCGGUGUGUCAAGUCUGAAUGUUCUCCUUCUGUCGCGAAAGAAGCCGAGUCUUCCAGACCGAAAGCCCUCUCAAAUUCCUCCCCGCCAGCAAGGGUGGAAUCCCCGCUCUAUCGAAUCCUCUCCUUCCUUCUCUAGAAAAAACAAAAACAACAGGGGGCGAAGUAGAGGCUGGUGGCUCCCGCCGGCGAGGUCGUGGUUCCCCGUCGCCUCCGUGCGUCUUGCAGGCGCGGGGAGGAGUCAGGGAAUCCGGAUCUCUGCCUGGCUGGGUUGUAUAGUUUUAGGAUUUUCUAGAAUUUUGGUUCUUGGCGGCAGUGGUGAGGCGAGGGCAGCGCUGCCGUUUGAGAAUAAGUCCCUCCGGUCCUCUCCUCGUGCAAGUGGCGUCGACUCCGGCGUCGUUGGCGGAUCAGUGCAGCCGGGGUGCUCGGGUUCUGGUGCUCCAGCUACUCGGUGCCCUGGUUGUGUUGUUUGGGUAUUAGCGUCCGUUGUUUCGGCAUCCUGUGGUGAUGACGGCACCUCCCUCUUGAGGGAUGUUGAAGGUGACUGCGUAGGAUUUGGAUGCGCGACGGACAGAUCUGGUCGUCUCGGACGAGACGGCGUGGCUCCAUGCCCGGAUCUGAAGCUGGAGAGGCUGGGGGAGUGCUUCCGCUCGGGAAACUGCCUCCGGCCGUUGCGCCUGAAGCUCUCAAAUCCUGCUUUUUGGAGUAGGUGGCUGUUGCAGCUCACCAAAGCUUCAGUGCGAGGGGCCAAGUACGCCGCUGGUGCUGUCAAUCCCCGGCGCCUCUUUUGCCUCCUCCUCUGCUGCAGCAGCCCAAUGUCCCACCACACCUCCUCCUUGCUGUCUCCGCCGCCGCGUCCCCCGUCUCCUCCGACGCCAACCUCCACUUGUAAGUCGGCUACGCUCUGCUCAUGCCCCCCGAGGGCCCCUAGCCGUCUGCAACUAGAGUGUCACCCACGAGCACCAAACCUGUGUUAUCUCCAGCCGGACUUCGUCUCAGGGACGACCUGA
This 1104-nucleotide ribosomal RNA is filed under the name Triticum aestivum (bread wheat). RNAcentral's name for it is "partial small subunit ribosomal RNA". Lineage: Eukaryota; Viridiplantae; Streptophyta; Magnoliopsida; Poales; Poaceae. The record is from RNAcentral.